GCAAACUUGGUCAUUUAGAGGAAGUAAAAGUCGUAACAAGGUCUCCGUAGGUGAACCUGCGGAGGGAUCAUUACCGAGUGAGGGUCCUCUGGAUCCGACCUCCCUCCCUAUGUGGUCUAAUCUCACACCCGUGCCUCGGGGGUGACCCGCCUGCGCUACGGCGCGGCGCGGGGCCCCCGGCGGACCCCAAAACACGAUCUUAGUGAUGUCGAGUCGGAAGGGAUAAUCGCGACGCAAAACUUUCAACAAUGGAUCUCUUGGUUCUGGCAUCGAUGAAGAACGCAGC
RNAcentral lists this unclassified non-coding RNA (286 nucleotides) under uncultured fungus. Its description in RNAcentral is "partial contains small subunit ribosomal RNA, internal transcribed spacer 1, and 5.8S ribosomal RNA". The stretch from base 1 to 73 matches the Rfam family "Eukaryotic small subunit ribosomal RNA", at positions 1759 to 1831 of the family's 1831-position model. Lineage: Eukaryota; Fungi. The record is from RNAcentral.